This 381-nucleotide ribosomal RNA is filed under the name uncultured bacterium. Its description in RNAcentral is "partial 16S ribosomal RNA". It matches the Rfam family "Bacterial small subunit ribosomal RNA", at positions 338 to 733 of the family's 1533-position model. The record is from RNAcentral.
CCUACGGGAGGCAGCAGUGGGGAAUAUUGGGCAAUGGAGGCAACUCUGACCCAGCAACGCCGCGUGAAUGAUGAAGGUCUUCGGAUUGUAAAGUUCUGUGAUGGGGGAUGAACACAAUGACGGUACCCGAAUAGCAAGCCACGGCUAACUACGUGCCAGCAGCCGCGGUAAUACGCAGGUGGCAAGCGUUAUACGGAAUGACUGGGCGUAAAGGGUGCGUAGGUGGUUUUGUAAGUUGGCGGUGUAAUUCCGGGGCUCAACCUCGGCGCUACCGCCGAAACUAUUAGUCUAGAGUGCAGGAGGGGUAUGUGGAAUGCCUAGUGUAGCGGUGAAAUGCGUAGAUAUUAGGAGGAACACCAGGGGCGAAGGCGGCAUACUGGA